Manihot esculenta (cassava) is the source of this 1448-nucleotide long non-coding RNA. RefSeq lists it as uncharacterized. The record is from RefSeq and is a predicted model, not a curated record. The transcript has 2 exons. Lineage: Eukaryota; Viridiplantae; Streptophyta; Magnoliopsida; Malpighiales; Euphorbiaceae.
UAAGAAGCCACCCGUAUAUGAUAUUUUAACUCAAUUAAAGAGUCAAAAGUGGUGGCGUGGGUUAGGGCUGCAAAGUGAUGAGAGACCUUAGAAUUUGUGGGCCUUGAUCACAUUUUCAGUUCUUUUUUCCAUUACAAGGCUUGUGGCCUAUAACUCUCUUUGUUGGGCCCCACUUUACAAACAAGGUCACGCCAAUCUCUAACUUUGGGUUUUUGCUUACAACAGCUUAUACUUGAUUGAUUCCCAUUACUCAUUUUGCCGCUUCCAUACGCAGAAAUCUCUAAGAAGCAAAAAUCAGGAAUUUAUCAAACAAGGGAUAAGUUGUGGUCCUUGUCACCCCAGACGCACACAGGCUUAUCUCUGCAAUCUGUGCGCUUUGAGAGAUGUAGAUGGUGCACUGGCAUGGCCACACGCCGCUGCCAAAUAAUUGAUAGAUUUUGUCAUCUCAUUUGCUUUGCAGGGGAGAUAAGGGGCAAAAAAAGCCCCCCCCUUUUCGAAAUUUUAAUAUUGAAUGGUGUUGGUAUGCCAUCCUUGUCGUGGAUGGUGGUCGUUGUCUCCUGUAUUGGGACCUCAUUAUGCACUCAUUAAUAAUGAUGAGGACGGAGGAGGCUUUGGGUUUUGAAACGCACAUGAGGACCUGUUAAGCUCAUGGAAACCACAGCCCAUGCUUGUACAAUUCUCGGAUCCACAAGAAGGCCCAGCCGGACUUUGAUUCAGAUGAAUUUCUGAUCGGAUGGACUCCAACACCAUGUUUGGAAUGGAAUGUUUCUCUUCCAAACUCAACACUUAUUUGGGACUCGGUAUUGCUGCUUCUCCGCUGCUGGAAGGCUGCCGGUGAAUGGGGCAUACUUCAGCUUCUGUAUGUUUUCUGAGAUCCAAACAUGGUCUUAGGAAUUAGCUUGGUCACAAUUCUAGGCCCCAGACGUGCCUUGUGUCUCUACUAAGUCUCACAUUCAAAGGCCUCUAUACGUCAAGAGAUUAUUGGUGUUGGGAAGGGCACCACUUUCAGCUUAAUUUUCUUUUUAAUGGGUAGAUGUAGAUUGGAAUAAUCAGUCGCACUCUAUCAGCAAGAUGGAAAAGACAGCAGAAGAGUCCAAGUUUGGUCACUUGACGGCACACAGAGAAGGUGGGAGACAUAUUGGUCCACCAUGCUGAUUUUGAAUCCUACACACACAAUGCUAGAGCUUCAGUCAAAGCGCUUUUCAUUAAGAAGAUGGUUAUUGGCCUUGAUUAAGAAUUAGAGGAGUAUCAUUGUAGCCCAAGCCUCAUCAAAGCUUGAGAAGAAAACUCUGGAGUAUUGGUUCUCUAUAUCUAGAGCUUAUUACCAAACAGUUUCUGUUCCAAAAUAUGAACUGGAACUGAAGAAUUUUAACCUUUUUUUUAUAAUUUUUGCGGUUUAUUUUCAGAUCUUAAUUAUAAGUUGUUUAUUAUUAUUAUUAUUAUUAUUA